RNAcentral lists this ribosomal RNA (200 nucleotides) under uncultured bacterium. RNAcentral describes it as "partial 16S ribosomal RNA". It matches the Rfam family "Bacterial small subunit ribosomal RNA", at positions 8 to 204 of the family's 1533-position model. The record is from RNAcentral.
AGAGUUUGAUCCUGGCUCAGAGCGAACGCUGGCGGCGUGCCUAACACAUGCAAGUCGAACGUGAACGGGAGCAAUCCCUAGUAAAGUGGCGUACGGGUGAGUAACACGUAGGUAAUCUACCGAAGAGUCUGGAAUAACCUGCCGAAAGGCGGGCUAAUACUAGAUAGAGCGACGGAAUCCGUAAUUGGGUUUUUCGGGAA